UACGGGGGGGGCAAGCGUUGUUCGGAAUUACUGGGCGUAAAGGGCUUGUAGGCGGCCAACUAAGUCCGACGUGAAAUCCCCAGGCUUAACCUGGGAACUGCGUCGGAUACUGGAUGGCUUGAAUUCGGGAGAGGGAUGCAGAAUUCCAGGUGUAGCGGUGAAAUGCGUAGAUAUCUGGAGGAAUACCGGGGGCGAAGGCGGCAUCCUGGACUGGUCCUGACACUCAGGAGCGAAAGCGUGGGGAGCGAUCCGG
RNAcentral lists this ribosomal RNA (253 nucleotides) under uncultured bacterium. RNAcentral's name for it is "partial 16S ribosomal RNA". It matches the Rfam family "Bacterial small subunit ribosomal RNA", at positions 524 to 776 of the family's 1533-position model. The record is from RNAcentral.